This 240-nucleotide unclassified non-coding RNA is filed under the name soil metagenome. RNAcentral describes it as "partial contains 5.8S ribosomal RNA, internal transcribed spacer 2, and large subunit ribosomal RNA". The record is from RNAcentral.
AACGCACGAGACCUGCGGACCUGCGGAGGGAUCAUUAACAAAAAUUUGUCCACCAUGGAUAAAUUUUUAUCCAUAUCCACCUUGUGUGAACCCAUUGAAGUGUUUGUUGGCAGGUUUUUAACCGUCUUUUUUUUUAAAGAACAGUUUGAGUAUCGUAAAUGCUCGGCCUGCCAAUUUUUAUCUUUAAACAUGUCUAAACGGUUAGCCUGAAAUUUAUAUAUCUUAAAAUACAACUUUUAA